Transfer RNA from Felis catus (domestic cat), 85 nucleotides. It matches the Rfam family "tRNA". Rfam says of the family: Transfer RNA (tRNA) molecules are approximately 80 nucleotides in length. NCBI's taxonomy places the organism in Eukaryota, Metazoa, Chordata, Mammalia, Carnivora, Felidae. The record is from Rfam.
GCCUGAGUGGCUUAGUCGGUUGAGCAUCUGACUUCAGCUCAGGUCAUGAUCUCACAGUUCAGGAGUUUGAGCCCCAUGUCAGGCU